CAGUAGCCGCGGUAAUACGUAGGGUGAGAGCGUUAAUCGGAAUUACUGGGCGUAAAGCGUGCGCAGGCGGUUGUGUAAGACAGGUGUGAAAUCCCCGGGCUUAACCUGGGAACUGCGCUUGUGACUGCACAGCUAGAGUAUGGCAGAGGGGGGUGGAAUUCCACGUGUAGCAGUGAAAUGCGUAGAGAUGUGGAGGAACACCGAUGGCGAAGGCAGCCCCCUGGGCCAAUACUGACGCUCAUGCACGAAAGCGUGGGGAGCAAACAGGAUUAGAUACCCGCGUAGUCCCUGUCUCUUAUAC
RNAcentral lists this ribosomal RNA (301 nucleotides) under uncultured bacterium. Its description in RNAcentral is "partial 16S ribosomal RNA". It matches the Rfam family "Bacterial small subunit ribosomal RNA", at positions 509 to 807 of the family's 1533-position model. The record is from RNAcentral.